Molecule: transfer RNA, 72 nt
Filed under: Phrynosoma platyrhinos (Desert horned lizard)
Lineage: Eukaryota; Metazoa; Chordata; Lepidosauria; Squamata; Phrynosomatidae
Description: tRNA-OTHER
Rfam family: tRNA
About the family: Transfer RNA (tRNA) molecules are approximately 80 nucleotides in length. Their secondary structure includes four short double-helical elements and three loops (D, anti-codon, and T loops).
Source: RNAcentral
GGCAGCGUGGCACAGUGGUUUGAGUGUUGGACUAUGACUCUAGACAUCCGGGUUUGAUUCCCUGCUCGGCCA